GAGGUUGCUACAAAAAACCGAGAGAAAAAAAAAAAGAAAAGAAAAAUUAAUUAUGGGAAAUUGUAAUUAAAAAAGGGGGGAUUUGUAAUUUUUUUAAUAUUGUUUGGGGAAAAAAAUUGAGGGUUGGUAGAGAGGGGAGAAAAAGAAGAAAUAUUUUUAUAGAUGGGGGGGAGCAAAAAGGAAAGGGGGAGAAUAAAAAAAAGUUCUCACUAAAAAAAAAGAUUAGUCUCUUAUAAACACUCCAACAAAGAGAUUCCUCAAGAAAUUAACACAGGAGAAAAAAGACUAAAGCAGAGGAAUUCUGAUGGAUCGGGUGUAAGAAUAAUUUGAGAACACCAAAAAAAAACUGUCGAAAAAAACACCACUAAAAAAGAAAAUAGGGGGGAUAGUGUUUUUAUCCACCGCAAAACAAAAAAAAGAACUUAUGCUUCAAUUAUCAGAGAACGGGGAGGGGUAGUAAUAUGCAGAGUCGGUUGGUCAGGGAAAAGAGAACGGAACAACACGACAAGUUAAUCAAAAAAAUGUGCUGGUGGGAGACAUUCGAUAUAUAGUGGCACAUUUAAGUUUGUUGUAGAGAGAGGUAAUGCGCUCAGGAGGGAAAUGAGAAAAGAAUUUAGGGGGACAUGAGACAUCAAAAUGGCACAUUACACAAUAAACUUCCCCAUUUAAAGAAUCGGGCUUAGAUGUUGUGCGCGGAGAAAGCAGAUAGGGAAUAUGCAUGGCAGAAUUGCGUGAAUCAUCUCAUCUUUGAACACACAUUGCGCCCACCAGUAUUUUGGCGGGCAUGCCUGUUAGAGCGUCAUUUCAACCCUCAAGCCCCCGGGCUUGGUGUUGGGGCUCGGCCCGUCCCUCGCGGCGCGCCGUCCCCGAAAUCCAGUGGCGGUCACGCUGUACUCCUCUGCGUAGUAAUCCAACCUCGAAAGGGGACAAAGCCUGGCCACGCCGUUAAACCCCCCACUUCUGAAGGUGACCUCGGAUCAGGUAGAUGCCCAUUUUCGCG
Molecule: ribosomal RNA, 1000 nt
Filed under: Oryza sativa (Asian cultivated rice)
Lineage: Eukaryota; Viridiplantae; Streptophyta; Magnoliopsida; Poales; Poaceae
Description: eukaryotic LSU rRNA
Rfam family: 5.8S ribosomal RNA (bases 654-802)
Source: RNAcentral